CUUUGUGCGGGGCAGGGGGAGGGUCCUGGCCCGUCCCCCGAAGCCGCCGGCCGGUCCCCUCGCCCCGCGUCCGUCCCGCACCUCUCAACAAACGGACAACCCGGGAAGCCAGCACACUGAUGCAGCGUGUAUCUGAGGGACAAGCGCAAGGUCCUGAGUGGAGUUGACACCAGAGAGCUUCAGGUGUGAGGCGUCAGAGAACAGUACUUACCGUCAUUGCCCUGGCAUAGAUUUCUGCCAAGACACCCACUGCCACAUACACGUCCCACCCCUUCCGAUGACCAGACCCCACCCUGCUCACCUGAGACAUUGCCUGCCACGUAGAUGGCUAUUGUAACUGCCAGAGAACCAGCCAGAAACAUGGUGAAGAAGUUCCCUUUGGUUUCUCCACUGGUGACAGCCUGGGCCACAGCCCCCUGAGUGAGAAGCUGACAGGGAGAGAAAGUUACUGCCUACCAUGAGCACAAAUACACCCAGAAACUCUGCCAAGCACUGUCGGGCCAGGAGGCUGUGGAUCCGAAAGUAGCCCCUCAUUUUGGCCAGCAGCUGAUCCCGGACCAUGGUGGUGUCUUGCUAUCUCUGUCCACUGCUCUUCUGUGUGCAUAGGCACACAGCUCCUGCAUGCCAGGGGAAAAGAUAAGGAACAGACUUUAAAACCAAUUAUCUUGGCAGUUACUAUCUACGCAGAUGUGUAGAAUAGAGCUCACAGCUUUCUGUGCAUAUGUGGAAGCUGGAAUGUGAGAGGCCUGUCUGUGAGCAGGCUGUGUGCACCUCUGCCUGGAGUUUGCCCAGGAUCUCUCUCUCUCUUCUGUCCUUUAUCCCUAUUUCUCAUAGAACUAGCCUGAAUUGCAGAAAGUACCCUGCUUCAGAUACAUUAAUACUCUUGACCCUAAAGACAGCUGUGUACUAUUGAUCCCAUUGACAUAUGAGUAUACUGAGCCCUAUAAUUCCCCAGAAUCACAGUUAGUUAGUGAUUGAGGGAAUUCAAACUGGGUCUUCUAAUUCUCCAUCUGGUAUUCUACAAUGCCUCUCACCUGGAACAUGAAGCCUUUCCUCAAACCAUGUGGAUAUUUGAAGAACUCAAGGAGCAUCCAGAGAGACUGGGCUGAAGACUACAGACUGUGAAAAUGGAUCCCACAUGUUGAAUGCUUGUGCUUUCUUCAUGCAGGGUCUCAUGAUUAGAGGAUCUUUCUUUUCUUC
This is a long non-coding RNA of Marmota monax (woodchuck), 1200 nucleotides long. RefSeq lists it as uncharacterized. NCBI's taxonomy places the organism in Eukaryota, Metazoa, Chordata, Mammalia, Rodentia, Sciuridae. The transcript has 4 exons. The record is from RefSeq and is a predicted model, not a curated record.